UCGUCAGCUCGUGCCGUGAGGUGUCGGGUUAAGUCCCAUAACGAGCGCAACCCCUACCCUUUAGUUGCCAUCAGGCUAAGCUGGGGACUCUAAAGGAACUGCCUACGCAAGUAGUGAGGAAGGCGGGGAUGACGUCAAAUCAGCACGGCCCUUACGUCCAGGGCGUACACACGUGCUACAAUGGCCGAUACAGAGGGCAGCUACCUGGUGACAGGAUGCAAAUCUCCAAAGUCGGUCUCAGUUCGGAUCGGAGUCUGCAACCCGACUCCGUGAAGUUGGAUUCGCUAGUAAUCGCGCAUCAGCCAUGGCGCGGUGAAUACGUUCCCGGGCCUU
This 333-nucleotide ribosomal RNA is filed under the name uncultured Sphingobacteriales bacterium. RNAcentral's name for it is "bacterial SSU rRNA". It matches the Rfam family "Bacterial small subunit ribosomal RNA", at positions 1052 to 1382 of the family's 1533-position model. Lineage: Bacteria; Pseudomonadati; Bacteroidota; Sphingobacteriia; Sphingobacteriales. The record is from RNAcentral.